UGGGCGUUCGAGAUUUGAGAGGAGCUACUCCUAGUACGAGAGGACCGGAGUGGACGUACCUCUGGUGUUCCGGUUGUCACGCCAGUGGCAUUUGCCGGGUAGCUAUGUACGGACAGGAUAACCGCUGAAAGCAUCUAAGCGGGAAGCCUCCCUCAAGAUGAGAUCUCGCACUCGUGCUUGCACGAGUCUAAAGGUUCGUUGGAGACUACAACGUUGAUAGGCAAGGUGUGGAAGCGCAGUAAUGUGUGGAGCUAACUUGUACUAAUUAACCGUGAGACUUUCCAUACAACCUUAAAUGGUUUCA
Molecule: ribosomal RNA, 304 nt
Filed under: Gammaproteobacteria bacterium RIFCSPHIGHO2_02_FULL_42_43
Lineage: Bacteria; Pseudomonadati; Pseudomonadota; Gammaproteobacteria
Description: partial 23S ribosomal RNA
Rfam family: Bacterial large subunit ribosomal RNA
Source: RNAcentral